GACGAACGCUGGCGGCGUGCCUAAUACAUGCAAGUCGAACGCUUUUUCUUUCACCGGAGCUUGCUCCACCGAAAGAAAAAGAGUGGCGAACGGGUGAGUAACACGUGGGUAACCUGCCCAUCAGAAGGGGAUAACACUUGGAAACAGGUGCUAAUACCGUAUAACACUAUUUUCCGCAUGGAAGAAAGUUGAAAGGCGCUUUUGCGUCACUGAUGGAUGGACCCGCGGUGCAUUAGCUAGUUGGUGAGGUAACGGCUCACCAAGGCAACGAUGCAUAGCCGACCUGAGAGGGUGAUCGGCCACACUGGGACUGAGACACGGCCCAGACUCCUACGGGAGGCAGCAGUAGGGAAUCUCCGGCAAUGGACGAAAGUCUGACCGAGCAAACGCCGCGUGAGUGAAGAAAGGUUUUCGGAUCGUAAAAACU
Molecule: ribosomal RNA, 427 nt
Filed under: Enterococcus casseliflavus
Lineage: Bacteria; Bacillati; Bacillota; Bacilli; Lactobacillales; Enterococcaceae
Description: bacterial SSU rRNA
Rfam family: Bacterial small subunit ribosomal RNA
Source: RNAcentral